RNAcentral lists this unclassified non-coding RNA (251 nucleotides) under Paraglomus occultum. RNAcentral's name for it is "partial contains 5.8S ribosomal RNA and internal transcribed spacer 2". The record is from RNAcentral. Lineage: Eukaryota; Fungi; Glomeromycota; Glomeromycetes; Paraglomerales; Paraglomeraceae.
GUGAAUCAUCAAAUCUUUGAACGCAAAUUGCGCCUUUUUCGAAAGCCAUGUCUGUUUGAGGGCACCAUUUAACAAAUAAUGUGCCGCGUGUUUUGUUUCUCACGUUGAUGAGCUUUCCAAGAAUUUUAAAUUUUUGGUGGCGCAUAAUGAACAGCUUGAAGGUUUUUUUCAGUUCUAUUGUAGUAACAUCUUUGCUUUGGUUUUGAAAAAACAUAGUCGCGCAAUUGGUGGGGCGAUUUCGUUUUAUCCUU